AAUUCAGUUUAGGGUUUAAAACCGUAAUGCUGACUGAAUGGAAAAAGUUGUGUUUAGGGUUUAAAACCCUAAUGCUGACUAAAUGGAAAAAGUUCAGUUUAGGGUUUGAAACCCUAAUACUGACUUACUGGAAAAAGUUCAGUUUAGGGUUUAAAACCCUAAUGCUGACUAACUAGAAAAGUUCAGUUCAGGGUUUAAAACCCUAAUGCUGACUAAAGGAAAGAGUUCAGUUUAGGGUUUAAAACCCUAAUGCUGACUAAAGGGAAGAGUUCAGUUUAGGGUUUAAAAUCCUAAUGCUGACUGAAUGGAAAAAGUUCAGUUUAGGGUUUAAAACCCUAAUGCUGACUAACUAGGGAAAAGUUCAGUUUAGGGCUGGGGCCCUAAUACUGACUGAAUGGAAAAGUUCAGUUUAGGGUUUAAAACCCUAAUGUUGACUAACUGGAAAAAGUUCAGUUUAGGGUUUAAAACCCUAAUGUUGACUAAAGGAAAGAGUUCAGUUUAGGGUUUAAAACCCUAAUGCUGACUGAAUGGAAAAAGUUCAGUUUAGGUUUAAAACCCUAAUGCUGACUAAAGGAAAGAGUUCAGUUUAGGGUUUAAAACCCUAAUGUUGACUGAAUGGAAAAAGUUCA
RNAcentral lists this long non-coding RNA (629 nucleotides) under Nicotiana tabacum (common tobacco). Its description in RNAcentral is "long non-coding RNA (NTAB_LNC008955)". Lineage: Eukaryota; Viridiplantae; Streptophyta; Magnoliopsida; Solanales; Solanaceae. The record is from RNAcentral.